This is a non-coding RNA of Pocillopora verrucosa, 1161 nucleotides long. The record is from RefSeq and is a predicted model, not a curated record. Lineage: Eukaryota; Metazoa; Cnidaria; Anthozoa; Scleractinia; Pocilloporidae.
AUUUUGAAGUGUCGGCUUUGCAUUGGAUUUUCCCAUCUUUGCUGGUGAAUCCGACAAUCUAGAGGAAGACAUCAAAAGAAGGCUUUUGAAUGCUUUGGAAACAAUUUCUCCAAGAAGCAGAUGAAUUUACUGACAAACGUAAUCCCCCAAAGCAGUUGUUAGGGCUGGCAUCCAAACAUUCUUGAGCCAUGGAAACCAAAAGUGGUAUGUUUUGCUUAACACCUACUUUGAACAGAAUUUUACCAAGGGAAAAAAUAUCACUGGCUUCAUUAAUUCUUUGCAGGAGGAAAGGAGCUGUCGCAUGCUUUUCCAAAAUCAAUGAUGUAGCCAUGUUUGUUACUCACAAGAAAAUUAUUAGCCUUCAAAUCACAGUGAAGAAAGCCUUUUGUGUGAAUAUGUGAAAGGGCUUCUGUCAAAUCAUGUGAAAUAAUUAACCAGUCAUUUGUUAUGAGUUAGCUUUGCACAUUCUGUAUUGUUGCACUGUUUUUCUGACAAGACAAUAGUUUGCUUAUUGUUACAGAUGUAUUGUCUUCCCCUUUAAACUCCAUUAUUAAGGAAAUGGGCUGCUUUUGAAGCUGCACACCUAUUAUGGUUGGGAUAUUUUUAUGUGCAAGUGCCUGCAUAAUGUGAGCCUCCUUCAUUAUCUCUGUGGUGUCCUGCAUCAGAGACUGUUUUUCCACAACCUUUAUAUCAAAUCGUGUGUACUGUCUCAGAAGGCAUCAACCAUAGCAUCCUUCUCCCAGUAUUAUAUUCUCUCCAUUGGUUGGAAGAAGUUCAGUAUGAUUGAUUAAGUUUACAAUGGAUUAUUUGGUACUUGCAUUCCUUUUAAAAAACUGGAAAAUGAAGGCAAAUAUAUUGUAGAGAGUGUGCUUAAAUAAAUGCUAGAUUGCAACACAAGUAAAAGUGAAGCUUGUUGAUCUCAUUGUUUGGCAUGCAAAUUACUGCAAAGUAACUAGAAACAUUACUCCUCCUCCAGAUAGACUAGACAUUAGCAUUGGAUUUUAUUUUUUUCUUGGCGUGCUCUCCCUCGACGCUGCUGCUUUUUCUCAAUUGCGUCUUUCUUUUUUUGGAGCUGAAGUUCCUUCACUUUUGUUUGUGCUUCAGCAAAGCUUAUUUUAAAUAUUUUCUCAAAGUGGCCAUUCACUUUUGAAUAAAUGUGUU